GGCUGGUCUGAGUGCAGUUGUGUUUAAAACUAAUUGAUUACAGCCAAUUACUAUCCCUUUGUUCCUUCUCCACUCUCCACUCCCACUGCUUCACUUGACUAGCUUGGA
Unclassified non-coding RNA from Otolemur garnettii (small-eared galago), 108 nucleotides. It matches the Rfam family "Y RNA". Rfam says of the family: Y RNAs are components of the Ro ribonucleoprotein particle (Ro RNP), in association with Ro60 and La proteins. The Y RNAs and Ro60 and La proteins are well conserved, but the function of the Ro RNP is not known. Lineage: Eukaryota; Metazoa; Chordata; Mammalia; Primates; Galagidae. The record is from Ensembl.